GUGUACGGCCAUACCACUUUGAAAAUACCACCUCUCGUCCGAUCCAUGAAGUUAAGCAACGUCGGUACCUGGAAGGGAGUCCACUUGGGAACACUCGGUGUCGUAGACU
RNAcentral lists this ribosomal RNA (109 nucleotides) under Leptotrombidium deliense. Lineage: Eukaryota; Metazoa; Arthropoda; Arachnida; Trombidiformes; Trombiculidae. The record is from RNAcentral.